RNAcentral lists this non-coding RNA (179 nucleotides) under Nitrospirae bacterium RBG_19FT_COMBO_55_12. RNAcentral's name for it is "6S RNA". It matches the Rfam family "6S / SsrS RNA". From Rfam's summary of the family: E. coli 6S RNA was the first non coding RNA to be sequenced, but its function was unknown until recently. It consists of 184 nucleotides that fold into an extended hairpin structure with a large single-stranded internal bulge. The record is from RNAcentral. Lineage: Bacteria; Pseudomonadati; Nitrospirota.
GGUCCCCUGCAUUGCGCGUGACGGGUAUAACUUGAUCCUCGUGAAAAAAUUAAAUCGGGAGCUGUCACUAGAAAGGGUGUGCAUGCCCAGGCAAGACUGGGUAGCCUAACUUUCCAUAACGGCGCCCACCUGGUAUAUGCCAGGUUCAAGUUUAUCUGCACGGCAAGGGCGGGGGACUU